CUUUUUCUUGGAUCGCCACUGGUUUGUUUCCAUUGAUUCUGUAAGAUAUCUUCUGUAACACAUUGAAAUGUAUAAAUAUUAAAACAUCAUACAGUACUUUGUUAUUUGAGACUGAGGAUAAUCAAAGAACAAGACUUGAGAAUAUAUAUAUAAAUGUACGAUGAAGGAGAGAAGGGGUGUAAUAAGAAAUCUUACAUAAUCUGAAGUAGUUCCCAGGUUGAACAAAGUUUCUGACUAACCUCUGCAACAAAAGAAGCAUUUUAACCAAAAACCAACAAAAGAACAAAAGAAGAAGAAGAGAAAAUAAAGAAGAAGGAGAGAUGAAUGAAAUAAGGUAGAGAUAGAGGGAGAGAGAGGCAUCAAUGACUAUGCGACACUGAUAUUAAUUUUUUACGUUUCAACUCAUUAAUAAAACGUUAAAGUAACAUAGUGUUCUGUAUUUUUUCUAAAUUUAUAAUACUUAUAAAGUUUUUAUGAAGAAACUUGUAUUAAUCUUUUUGCUUUUCAUAGUUCUUUCUUUUACUAUAUAAGCAGACCAUCAUCAUUCAUCAUGGAGUUAUAUAAUUUCUCCCUAUUGAUUAACCAUCAAUUUGUUUUGCUUUUGC
Molecule: long non-coding RNA, 605 nt
Filed under: Capsella grandiflora
Lineage: Eukaryota; Viridiplantae; Streptophyta; Magnoliopsida; Brassicales; Brassicaceae
Description: long non-coding RNA (CGRA_LNC000142)
Source: RNAcentral